CCUACGGGAGGCAGCAGUGAGGAAUAUUGGUCAAUGGGCGCGAGCCUGAACCAGCCAAGUAGCGUGAAUGAUGACUGCCCUACGGGUUGUAAACUUCUUUUAUAAGGGAGUAAAGUGAGGCAAGUGUGCCUUUUUGUCUGUACUUUAUGAAUAAGGAUAGGCUAACUACGUGCCAGCAGACGCGGUAAUACGGAGGAUGCGAGCGUUAUCCGGAUUUAUUGGGUUUAAAGGGAGCGUAGAUGGGUUGUUAAGUCAGUUGUGAAGGUUUGCGGCUCAACCGUAGAAGUGAAAUUGAUACUGGCAGUCUUGAGUACAGUUGAGGUAGGCGGAAUUCGUGGUGUAGCGGUGAAAUGCUUAGAGAUCACGAAGAACCCCGAUUGCGAAGGCAGCUUACUAAUCUGUGACUGACAUUGAUGCGCGAAAGUGUGGGUAUCAAACAGGAUUAGAUACCCUUGUAGUC
Molecule: ribosomal RNA, 460 nt
Filed under: uncultured bacterium
Lineage: Bacteria
Description: partial 16S ribosomal RNA
Rfam family: Bacterial small subunit ribosomal RNA
Source: RNAcentral